Molecule: long non-coding RNA, 525 nt
Filed under: Vigna radiata
Lineage: Eukaryota; Viridiplantae; Streptophyta; Magnoliopsida; Fabales; Fabaceae
Description: long non-coding RNA (VRAD_LNC001490)
Source: RNAcentral
AGUUGUUUGAUUGGUUGCUUUUGGUUGUGAGAUUGCUAUGGUAUGAUUAAUUUUUAUAAGUUGUUAUUUUGAGUUGUAAUAUUUGACAAAGAAUGUUAAUUUCAAGGGUUUACAUGUAUGUUAUGAACUAAGUCAUGUGAUCUUGAAAUUAUGAAUUGUAUUGAGUGUAUCUAUUGGUUUGAUUACGGUUAGUUCCAAUUGGAACAUAUGGUAGGUUGCUUAAAGAUUUGACUUUGGGAUUGGCGUGAAUGGAUUUGCAUAAUUGCAUAAUUAAGUUUUUCGCAAUCAUGCAAGAUUGCUAGGCUAAGAGCUUCGUUGUUGGGUGAGCACAAAGCUAGACGGCCCAUUGACUUGGUGGUCAUUAGGUGAAGACAUUCUUAUUGAGCACUCUAAAGUCAGAGAGUUUACUAGCUUGGUUGCCACUAGACGCAACUAGGCUUCGUAAGGGCAAUUUUGGUCGUUAGAUCCUUGUGAACUCUAGUUAGAGAUGACAAUAGGUCGAGUCGGACACUAAUAAUGCCUACC